AUUGAACGCUGGCGGCGUGCCUAACACAUGCAAGUCGAGCGGCAGCGCGGGAGCAAUCCUGGCGGCGAGCGGCGGACGGGUGAGUAACGCUUGGGAAUCUGCCUGUUAGUGGGGGACAACCCGGGGAAACUCGGGCUAAUACCGCAUACGCACUACGGUGGAAAGCCGGGGACCGCAAGGCCUGGCGCUAACAGAUGAGCCCAAGUCGGAUUAGCUAGUUGGUAGGGUAACGGCCUACCAAGGCGACGAUCCGUAACUGGUCUGAGAGGACGACCAGUCACACCGGAACUGAGACACGGUCCGGACUCCUACGGGAGGCAGCAGUGGGGAAUCUUGCGCAAUGGGCGAAAGCCUGACGCAGCGACGCCGCGUGAGGGAUGACGGCCU
RNAcentral lists this ribosomal RNA (387 nucleotides) under uncultured bacterium. RNAcentral's name for it is "bacterial SSU rRNA". It matches the Rfam family "Bacterial small subunit ribosomal RNA", at positions 29 to 417 of the family's 1533-position model. The record is from RNAcentral.